UGCCAGCCGCCGCGGUAAUACGUAGGGAGCAAACGUUGUCCGGAUUUAUUGGGCGUAAAGGGCUCGUAGGCGGUUCAACAAGUCGGUCGUGAAAGCCCGGGGCUCAACCCCGGGAGGCCGGUCGAAACUGUUGUGACUAGAGUUCGGUAGAGGUGAGUGGAAUUCCCGGUGUAGCGGUGGAAUGCGCAGAUAUCGGGAGGAACACCAUUAGCGAAGGCGGCUCACUGGCUCGAUACUGACGCUGAGGUGCGAAGGCGUGGGGAGCAAACAGGAUUAGAUA
RNAcentral lists this ribosomal RNA (280 nucleotides) under uncultured bacterium. RNAcentral's name for it is "partial 16S ribosomal RNA". It matches the Rfam family "Bacterial small subunit ribosomal RNA", at positions 506 to 784 of the family's 1533-position model. The record is from RNAcentral.